ACACAAAACUACAUACUAGAUAUAUUUAUCUCGUCAAAUUUAAACAUGUAUUGAUUGGGAGGGAGCAAAUGGGAGGGCUGGAGAUGAUGAGGUGAUAAAAAGCGUCAUAAAAGCAUGCGUCUGACCAUAUCCUCCAGUCUUUGCAGUAGAAAGGAAAGUCAUCACCGACAGCUUCACAGGCCUAUAAGGAGCAACCUUCAGGACUGAUUUAUUCCGCAAAAUUCAUAUUUAUAUUUUGGUGGCACAGAAAACCUCAGCUUUACAACAAUGCAGCUCAAUUUACUCACUCUGACGCUUUGCUUACUUGGCACAGUAACUCUAUGUGGAGCACAGGAUAACACCACAACUGCAAACCCAGCACCAAGCGUUCCUCCUGACGUCAGUACCACUGAGCUCCCCGGUACCCUGCCAACAGGAUCACAACCCGUACCCGUCACAAACACAACUGACGCCACUGGCAGCACCAACGGGACCACCGCGGACCCAAAUACGCCGACACACGAGGCCAACACCACCUCGCCCGCCCCCACCGCGGAGGCGUCUGGGGGAGGUGGGCUGUCGUCGGGGGCUAUAGCUGGAAUCACCAUCGGCUCCAUCGCCGGGGUCGCUGCAGUGGGUGGAGGCAUCUUUGGAGCACUCAAGUACACGGGGAGGAUCUGAGACUGGUCCUCACCUAAAAGGAGUAAAGGACUAGAAACUAAAAGUCCACUUUUGUCUGAAAGGCCCAACUGAGAUUUAAACGUUAUGAACACAAUGUACAAGCUAAUGUCAGGGGCCAGGAGGAAGACAACACAGUGGAUUGGACUUUAUUCACCCAUGGGAUUAUGAUCUAUUACUGUAUGAAAUUUUGGUUUAUUAAGAACAGAACUAAAAUGGAAAGAUUUCCAUGAUUUUAAUUGUAAAGUGUAUCAAUGUCUAAUGUGUCUUCUGUUUGAUACUGUUCUGUCCAGUAACUUGGAUUGAUAUUAAAACUAAUUAACCAGAGAUUUUAAUAAGCUUUUACUUAUUAUAAGAUUAUUUUUCACCUUGUUUGGAACAGCUGUAGAGACAUUACGUUUUUCCCAAUGCUAACGCAUGUCGCUGAUAUGAGCAUUAUGACGUCACAAUAACUCAAGCUGUUUGAGUGUGAUGAGAUGUGAAUGUGUACGUGAGAACUGAGAAACGCCAGAUUAUGGGUGGUUGCAGCAUGUUGUGGUCUCAGAGUAAAAGACUUGACCUUAGAGUGCAGAGUACAAAUUUAGCAACAACGCAGUAUUUAAAGCAUUAACAAACGGGAUGCUGUCAACAACACACACAAACCUGAAAUCAAACUUGUGUCUGAUUUAAAUAAUGCAGAAAUGUAAACACUUGCAUAAACAUUUUUUCCUCCACUUCUCUAGAUCAGUCUCAUGUCACAGUGGGCUUCAGCCCCCGUCGGGCCUGUGGGGUCAUGGUAUGAUUAUUAACCACGCAUGCAUCAACAAUGUAUGGCUGCAACACAGCACAGCCGUCCAUGCAGGGAGUUUACGGCCGCAUGAUCACAAAGUGUUGGGUUUGUGCGAGAGCCGGGGGGUGUUACUGCAUGCUGGGGGCAGGGAGGGUCCAAUCUGGGAGCAUUUGCUAAGAUUAAAAUAAAAUGCUAUAUUUAAUAAGAGUUACA
RNAcentral lists this long non-coding RNA (1639 nucleotides) under Betta splendens (Siamese fighting fish). RNAcentral's name for it is "lncRNA (ENSBSLG00000012537.1)". The record is from RNAcentral. Lineage: Eukaryota; Metazoa; Chordata; Actinopteri; Anabantiformes; Osphronemidae.